Brienomyrus brachyistius is the source of this 684-nucleotide long non-coding RNA. RefSeq lists it as uncharacterized. NCBI's taxonomy places the organism in Eukaryota, Metazoa, Chordata, Actinopteri, Osteoglossiformes, Mormyridae. The record is from RefSeq and is a predicted model, not a curated record. The transcript is spliced from 2 exons.
UACCACAAACCGCUGGCAUGCUGUGGCCCCCAUGUCCACACCGCGCAGUGAAUUUGGCAUCGCAGUGGUGGACGACCUCCUGUUUGUGAUGGGCGGCCACGAUGGGUUUAGGGUAACUAACAAGGUCGAGUGUUAUGAUGCGGGGACAGGCAGCUGGUAUCGUGCGCAGGACAUGAGCAGAGCCAGAAAACACUUCAGCUGCUGCGUAGUGCCUGCGCACCCCCGCAUCAUAAAAUACGCUUCACCUCGUUAGUCCCUGAUGGCCACCAAGGAGGAGAGAAACCCAUCUGCCCACAACAGCAUGCCCAACUCUGCUUCCUCAUUGGAAGGUGUGUUGGUGGGAUCGAGGUCUUUGAAGUCAAGGCUGUCCGGAAGUCAUUUUCCAUGGCCUCGCUAAACUCCUCCCACACCUGAGUUUUUGCCUCGACGACCGCCGAAGCCGCAUUCCAUCAUUUCAUCACCGCUGUCCACCAGCGGGUUCGGGGAAUGCCGCCACAACAGGCACCGACCACCUUACGGCCACAGCUCCAGUCAGCCGCCUCCACAACGGAGGCAUGGAACAAGGCCCAUUCGGACUCAAUGUCCCCUGCGUCCUCCAGGACAUGGGAGAAGCUCUGCUGGAGGUCGGAGUUGAAUCUUCUCCUGACAUUGCAUACUUAAAAUAAAGUUCUCUUUUUUAUAUUA